RNAcentral lists this ribosomal RNA (254 nucleotides) under uncultured bacterium. Its description in RNAcentral is "partial 16S ribosomal RNA". It matches the Rfam family "Bacterial small subunit ribosomal RNA", at positions 524 to 776 of the family's 1533-position model. The record is from RNAcentral.
UACGGGGGGAGCAAGCGUUGUUCGGAUUUACUGGGCGUAAAGGGCGCGUAUGCGGCCACCGCAAGUCGACUGUGAAAUCUCCGGGCUUAACCCGGAAAGGUCAGCCGAUACUGCGGGGCUAGAGUGCAGAAGGGGCAACUGGAAUUCUCGGUGUAGCGGUGAAAUGCGUAGAUAUCGAGAGGAACACCUGCGGCGAAGGCGGGUUGCUGGGCUGACACUGACGCUGAAGCGCGAAAGCUAGGGGAGCGAACGGG